This 919-nucleotide ribosomal RNA is filed under the name uncultured bacterium. Its description in RNAcentral is "bacterial SSU rRNA". It matches the Rfam family "Bacterial small subunit ribosomal RNA", at positions 606 to 1528 of the family's 1533-position model. The record is from RNAcentral.
GGCUCAACCGUGGAACUGCGGGGUAAACCACAAGUCUUGAGGCAUGUAGGGGUCAGUGGAACGAUGUGUGGAGCGGUGAAAUGUGUAGAUAUACAUCGGAACGCCAAUGGCGAAGGCAGCUGACUGGGCAUGUCCUGACGCUCAGGUACGAAAGCGUGGGUAACGAACGGGAUUAGAUACCCCGGUAGUCCACGCCGUAAACGAUGCGCACUAGGUCGUGGUACCUCUCAUGGUUUCACGGCUGAAGGUAAACUGGUUAGUGCGCCGCCUGGGGAGUACGGUCGCAAGGCUAAAACUCAAAGGAAUUGACGGGGGCUCACACAAGCGGUGGAGCAUGUUGCUUAAUUCGAGGCAACGCGAAGAACCUUACCUGGGCUUGACAUGUAUGGAUUAACUUAUUGAAAGAUAGGCCACGCCCUUUGGGUGGAACAUACACAGGUGCUGCAUGGCUGUCGUCAGCUCGUGCUGUGAAGUGUUGGGUUAAGUCCCUUAACGAGCGCAACCCCUAUCGUUAGUUACUCACGCGUCAUGGCGAGGACUCUAGCGAGACUGCCGGUGUCAAACCGGAGGAAGGUGGGGAUGACGUCAAGUCAGCAUGGCCCUUACGCCCAGGGAUGCAAACGUGCUACAAUGGUGUGGACAGAGCGAAGCGAUACCGCGAGGUGGAGCAAAUCGCAAAAACCGCACCCCAGUUCGGAUAGCAGGCUGCAAUUCGCCUGCUUGAAGUUGGAAUCGCUAGUAAUCGCGUAUCAGCAUGACGCGGUGAAUACGUUCCUGAGCCUUGUACACACCGCCCGUCACGUCAUGGAAGCUGCUAGUGCCCGAAGUCACCUCGGUUCAGGGGUGCCUACGGCAAGAGUGGUGACUGGGACGAAGUCGUAACAAGGUAGCCGUAGGAGAACCUGCGGCUGGAUCACCU